Molecule: transfer RNA, 76 nt
Filed under: Tanakia himantegus
Lineage: Eukaryota; Metazoa; Chordata; Actinopteri; Cypriniformes; Acheilognathidae
Description: tRNA-Leu
Source: RNAcentral
AUUGGGGUGGUAAAGCAUGGUAAGCUGCGAAAGGUCUAAGCCUCUUGAAUCAGAGGCUCAAGUGCUCUCCCCAGCU